GACGAAGGUGGCGAGCGUUGUUCGGAAUCACUGGGCAUAAAGCGCACGUAGGCGGCGGCGUAAGUUGGAUGUGAAAUCCCCCGGCCCAACCGGGGAACUGCGUCCAGUACUGCGUUGCUUGAGGAUCCAAGGGGUGCAUGGAAUUCCCGGUGGAGCGGUGAAAUGCGUUGAUAUCGGGAGGAACUCCGGCGGCGAAAGCGGUGCA
Molecule: ribosomal RNA, 205 nt
Filed under: uncultured bacterium
Lineage: Bacteria
Description: partial 16S ribosomal RNA
Rfam family: Bacterial small subunit ribosomal RNA
Source: RNAcentral